Molecule: transfer RNA, 66 nt
Filed under: Diploptera punctata (Pacific beetle cockroach)
Lineage: Eukaryota; Metazoa; Arthropoda; Insecta; Blattodea; Blaberidae
Description: tRNA-Ser
Source: RNAcentral
GAAGUAUGAGGUCAGAUGAAAGCUGCUAACUUAUCAUCUUAGUGGUUUAAUUCCAUUUAUAUUUCU